This 467-nucleotide ribosomal RNA is filed under the name uncultured bacterium. RNAcentral describes it as "partial 16S ribosomal RNA". It matches the Rfam family "Bacterial small subunit ribosomal RNA", at positions 28 to 507 of the family's 1533-position model. The record is from RNAcentral.
GACGAACGCUGGCGGCGUGCUUAACACAUGCCAGUCGAACGGAAAGGCCCUGCUUUUGUGGGGUGCUCGAGUGGCGAACGGGUGAGUAACACGUGAGUAACCUGCCCUUGACUUUGGGAUAACUUCAGGAAACUGGGGCUAAUACCGGAUAGGAGCUCCUGCUGCAUGGUGGGGGUUGGAAAGUUUCGGCGGUUGGGGAUGGACUCGCGGCUUAUCAGCUUGUUGGUGGGGUAGUGGCUUACCAAGGCUUUGACGGGUAGCCGGCCUGAGAGGGUGACCGGCCACAUUGGGAUUGAGAUCGGGCCAGACUCCUACGGGAGGCAGCAGUGGGGAAUAUUGCACAAUGGGCGGAAGCCUGAUGCAGCAACGCCGCGUGCGGGAUGACGGCCUUCGGGUUGUAAACCGCUUUCGCCUGUGACGAAGCGUGAGUGACGGUAAUGGGUAAAGAAGCACCGGCUAACUACGUG